RNAcentral lists this long non-coding RNA (5383 nucleotides) under Triticum aestivum (bread wheat). RNAcentral describes it as "long non-coding RNA (TAES_LNC013323)". Lineage: Eukaryota; Viridiplantae; Streptophyta; Magnoliopsida; Poales; Poaceae. The record is from RNAcentral.
UGGCCGUGGAGCUCGCCCCCUUGAACCUGAGCGGUGGCUCUCCUCCAGGUAAUCUCUCUUCCUAUAGGCUUGUUCUGCUAGGCUCCAGCAAUUGCGCCAAUUUUGGAUUCUUUAUGAGAAAUCGACUGGCAGACUCCUGUUAUCCCCUUCCUGUAGCUUGUAGAGAUUUUUCUGGUGGAGAGAAGGAGAUGCUUAUGGUCUCCUGACCUUUCUCUGUCUUUUUUAAUCUUCGCACGGUUUCUUCUUACUUAUAAUUUUCACGCUGGCCAUUGGGAGAGGGUGUUCUCCGGUGAGGCACCAAGGAAGCCGGGAAUGGCAAAUGCAGUGAAGUGACCCAUAAGGCACAUAUGGAAUUUUUUUAGGAUCAUAGAAAGCGAAGACUUGCCUCAAUUUAUGUCAGAGUUGCUCAUAUCCCCCUGCCUUUUUGCUUACCUUGCAUUGUUUUACGGAAUUAACUUUUAGUUAUAUAUUUUCAGUUGGCAUUCUGCCCAACUUUGAUUAUCUCUUGAACAUAUCUGUAUUAAUUAUAUGAAGUUACAUAUAGGAAAACGUGCUCAAUGUAUUUUAUUGGUCUCUUUACAUUUGUAGACAGUCCACAGGAGGAGGCAAGUUGAGGGCUUCCUAGUUGCUACUACUGUCAGCUUCAACCUAUGCAAUGUGUUACAACUUUGCAUCAUUCCUACUUCAUGCACACCGGCUGAUUCUUCACAGGUAUGCUUCCCCUUCUAGUAGUUGCAUAAAAGGCGUAUUCUUUCUAUUUGUUGUUACCAUAUCUUAGCAAGUUAUAUUAAUGAUAUAUGUAUUUUAAGACAAAGGAAGAAGGCUUGCAUGUACUAAAUGAAUUUGGUUCAUAUGUGUUAGUUGAUAUAAAAUAGAUUUUUCGCACCGUUUGAUAUUUUUGAAAUAAAUAUUUUUAAAUUUGAUAAUAUUUGAAAUGAUAACAUAAUGAGUUUUUAGAUGUUUGUAUUCAAUUGGAUUUAUCAUUUGUGUGCAUGUAUUGUGUGCGUGCAUGUAUACACGCGUCUAUGUUGUACACUUGUACUAUUUCAUGUUUCUCGUAUAAGUUUUGUUUGAAUGAGGAAGUAAACUUGUAUGCGCACACACACCCAUUUAUCUAUGUUGUACUGUUGACCCACUUGAUAUUUCUAGAAAAAUAUUGUUUGUGUGCGCUCAUUUGAUUUUUGCCGGUGGCAUGCAAUACAGCUUUGAUCUUAUACACAUCCUCGCCGAGUUGCUUGACUUUCUCAAUCCUUGAUCCAACUAUAACAAAAAAAAACUACUUCAUCUCCCCUUCUCGAUUUUGUUCAUCCAAGUGUUCUUCACUUGUGGCGGCACUAAACCCUAAUCACAACUUCGCGCAUGUAUUUGCUCCUUAGGUUUUACUAAGGGCGUUGCAACAUGGUGGGUACUCUUGAAGAGAGAUAUACACCAGGGAGUAAUUUUGAAAAAAAGUAGAUAGUUUGGGUUCUUGGCCUCUGGAGUUCUGGAGCAUGAGAUAGAUUGAUGGAGAUCCUAUAGAAUCUGUAAGCCUUUUUAAAUGCAAAUAGAAUUAGUAUAAGCCUUUUUAAAUGCAAUUUUGGGUGACUACAGUCUAUGUGGUUGUUCCAGGCUAUUUGCUUUGUAAAAUAAAUGGAAAACUAACUUAUAGCAAGAUCAUAUUUACAAUAGGAUUAUUGUUUUAUUCAUUUAACUUGUAUUUUGCCUGUAGUUUUCUAGGUAUUAGGUAUUUAUUAUUUUCUCCCUUCAUAAAAGAUUUCUUUUGAUAUUCUACAGUAUUAUGAAAUACACAUCUGUAACUAACAAAUUAUGGUUUGUAAUCAUAUAGUUAUAUGUAUUUUCGUUAUUUACCUCUAUUACAUGUACCUUGUAUUUUCUCAAUUAUACCUUUUAUUUUCACUUGGUGCACUACAUGCUCCUGAUCACACCUAAUAAAUUUUCAUUUGGGAAACUACGAACUUUCUCGCAUAGAACGAAAACUCUAAACUUCCCUGUCAUGCAAAGCACACCCAUUCUCUAGUUGUACUAACUAUUGCUAACUGGUCACCGUUUUACCUGAAGUAUGCACCCAUGCAUGUGGUCAACGUGUUACCCAUCUCUUCAUUUCUUCUUCUGAAUAGAUAAAACAGAUUCAUUUCUCUUCCUGGCUGUACUUUUUUUAGAUGAUCCGGCUGUACUUAAUCUACAGAAUAUGAAAAACAACUUCGGCUAGCCCAUGUAAUUUUUUUAGAACUGCCCAUGUACGGGUGGUACAGGUCCAGGGAUCAUGAUGCAGGCCCAGUUGAGUAAUUUAGUGAACGAUACCACUCCAUAACAUUAAAUCUAUAUAUGAUAGAGUGCUGGUGUACUUUCUUCCCCUAUCUCUCUCAUCUGAGUCAAUCCCCUCCAGCCUCCUCAUCCACACAUGUCAACGCCUUCGAUUAGCAGCCUGUGAAGAAAGAUGUCGCUGCUGGCGCUGAUGCGAAACUAAUUCCCAAGCCAUUUCAGCACUAUUUUUGGUUUCUCCUUCCAAUUUCUCUUCCUUCGGGUAUAUUCCGCAAACUAUAGUCAUGGUGAUGUGACGAUAGGGUGGCGUUGAGCACAAAGAAUGGUUGCCCUCAGGUGGGCGGAGUGACACGCCGGUUAUGGUCCAUGAGAUGGGUAUCAGAGGCAGAUGUGUAUAAUUAAGGAGAUUUAGGAACAAAUACAAACAUUUGAGCAGUGUGUACAUGGAUGGUGAGUUGUGUCGCCUUCCUCAGUUUUGGCUAUGUGGACAUCCACCAAUGUAACUUCUAUUGCUUUGCAUCCUUUCUCAUUUAAAUCUUUACGAUGUCCUAGCAAAUUAUUUUACUUAUACGUAUUUUAGUCAAAGCAAGAAGGCUUACAGUUAUUAAUUGAAAUUUAUGGUAGAUAAGAUGGAUGGGAGUUCUACCUACAGGUGUAUGCGAGUUCACUUCCUAGUUGCAGGUGAUGUCACUCUCGUACUACUUAGAACAUUGCGGUUGAUUCUUCACAUGUAUCUUUUUACCUUCUAGUUGGACUGAAAUGUCUGUUUGUUUUAUUUGUUGUUAGCUUAUAUUGGAAAAUUAAAUACUUUUAAUAUAAUUCAAGAAGGCCUAUAUUAUUUGAAAUUUUCUACUGGCUCUGUUGAACUGAAGAGGACACACGUUAGGUGAAUGUCUCAAUGUAUUCAAAAUUUACAACAUGACAUGCAUGGUUCUGAUAGUGCUGACAAACGCUUGUUAUCUAACAGGUGUCCUUAUUGGUAGAUGCUAAGUAAGCUUUCUCUACCUCAGUAAAUGCAAUAGUCCUUAGUUCACUGAAUAAGCUACUAAUCAAUAUAUAUAUUUUGGAUAUGAUUCAUUAGUUCAUAAAUAUUUAAGCAUAGAGUCCCAUACUUGUCAUGAAGUUCCUGAGUUUCCAAUAUUCUAAAUUUGUAUAUAUUCUUGUGGGGAUGGUUGAGUUUAGGUAAAAAUGAUCAAUCUAUAUGAUAUUAUUAGUAAAUAAAAUAAGAGCUUGUAAUGUUAUUGGACUUACCAUUGAACUUCUGCACUAUUGUGGAGGUUACAAUAAGGACAGUUUGGUUGUUGCUUACACCCUAAUUUCCCCAUAAUGUCAAUACGAUUUUAUUACCCUAAAGAGUAUAAGCAGAAAAAACUAAUGCUAAUAGCAAUGGUAGAAGUCCAAUUCGUAUUUUAAGAACGGGUAUGCAUUAUGCACUUACUUUGGUAUAUAAUUUCAAUCUGCAGAAAUAUGAAGGUUAUUAGUUAUUUCUUCUUAUUCUUGAUUCCACAGGCUUCAUUUGGGGAGUAACCAAUGACAUUUAUUGGAGAUUAAUUAGUUCACAGUAAGGAUUAAUUACUUGAAAAAUCUUAUUUACAACUAAAAAAUAUAGACAUACCUGAGCAUUGUUUAUCAUUCUUGGCCUGUUCCUAUAAUAUGUCUUUGCUAGCAAUCUCGAAGUAGUAAUGCGGAUAACCUUAUGCCGAUCUUUUCACCUUCAAAUUGUUAAAUCCAUAAAUAGAUUUGUCAUUUAGCUUUGAUUUCUACGUGUCCAUCAAACCUCCGAGACGGUUGAAUGAAUUGUUUGGCCCUAUAAGAACAGUCAAAUUAUACUCAGUGACUGUUGUUUUACUUUUAAAAUGAUGGAACAGUCUGAAAUUAGAUAUGUUAUGAAAUAACCUUUUCAUCCAUCUAGAUCAUAUUGAGGCUCAUAAGCUCGUGUCGGUUGUACAUUCCAGUUUUGCUUCCUUGUUGUGAAGUCACUAUGCUUCUUGUAUGACAUUGUUUUCUCUGCAAAAAAGUUAGACAUUUGUUAGUCAAUUGAUAAUAUACAUACAAAGAUUGUAUCUGGAUAAUAAAUACACACCGUUAUGAUUCAGGUGAUAGGCAACUCGGAAGGAUGGCAGGGUGUGACUUCGUCGAGCAUUGAGUCGCACGUCAAGUUGCAUUUUUCACAGAUUCUGAUCUUUUCCCAGCGUUGUGUUGCCCUCUAUAGAAACUUCUUUUGUUGACGUGUGUCGAGUAGCAGAUUUGGCUGGCUUGAAUUUUGGAUAUGUGCUGGGCAUGGCCGAAAUUUGGCUGGCUUAAAGUUUUGGAUGCGUGCUGGGUAUGGCCGGCUGGGUGCCUUCUUAUUUGUGCCUGCCUUGGCCGACUACAUGUAAACUUCAGGUUGAGUCCGUAUGGAAUUAUGCAUGCAGUCUGGUACUGGUGCACGUGAGUUUCCAUAUGGACAAUUUGCCCGAUUUGGAGAUACAUGGGCAUGUUUUUUCUAAGGAAAGACCUGCCAUAAGGAAAGACUUGCCUAGGGGAUCUCUUUUUGUACGUGUUCAAGUUGGACUUUGUUCAACAUGAUUGACCGGAGGUUGUUCGGAGGCUUUUUUCUACGUGAUUGCUGGGGCAGAUUGAUUGGUUGCAUCCAUGCCAAGUGCUAACAUGAACGUGGGUUCAUCUUAUACGUGUCUCUUUUUUGCGGGCUUAUCUUAGACGUGUCUGAUUUAAAAAGUUGUACAUGUUAUCGUGUACAUAAUUUUUACAUAUUUUUAAUCUCAACCAUUGUUGUAUAAAUCAAUGGCUAAUAUAUUUUGUACCAACUAUUGCUAACUGGUCACCGUUUUACCUGAAGUAUGCACCCAUGCAUGUGGUCAACGUGUUACCCAUCUCUUCAUUUCUUCUUCCGAAUAGAUAAAACAGAUUCAUUUCUCUUGCUGGCUGUACUUUUUUAGAUGAGCCGGCUGUACUUAAUCUAUAGAAUAUGAAAAACAACUUCGGCUAGCCCAUGCAAUUUUUUUAGAACUGCCCAUGUACGGGUGGUACAGGUCCAGGGAUCAUGAUGCAGGCCCAGUUGAGUAAUUUAGUGAACGAUACCACUCCAUAACAUUAAAUCCAUAUAGGAUACAGUGCUAGU